RNAcentral lists this long non-coding RNA (1028 nucleotides) under Capra hircus (goat). RNAcentral describes it as "lncRNA (ENSCHIG00000001496.1)". The record is from RNAcentral. Lineage: Eukaryota; Metazoa; Chordata; Mammalia; Artiodactyla; Bovidae.
GUUCAGGUUCACAUGCUCAAUUCUUUUGAUUAGGUACUGAAAUUCAUCUGGCUAAACUUCCUUGUCUACAAAACAGUGGACUAACUACAGCAAAGGAAAGAGUGGUACCCAUGGAGAGGUACUCUCCAGGUGCCCAGUCUAGGAAGGACCUGAUAUCCAGAGGAGGUUCAGCAGACAGAUACCAGCUGUCAGCGCCUUCAGGGUCUGCUCAGGUGCAGAGAACUGCCUUCUCAGGUUGGGACCAUUACAGGAAUGAAAGAAAUAUCCUAGACAAAGGAAGAACUAUUCCAAAGCCAGCCUCAAGCUGGAAUGUGUUCUAGUUGAUUCCCUUUUCUUGCUUAGCAAGCACUGAGCUUCCUGUUUCUGGUUUGGACCUGAAGCGAAGGUUCCCAAAUACCAACAGGAAGGUCAUACUUGUGGUCUCCCUCCCUUGCUGAAACCCUGCUGAAGCCUGAAGCUCUAGAAUUCCACGUGGGUGUCAUUUUCUCAAGAGACUUCCAGCUGCAGUUCCCAGACCAGAGCUGGGUCCCUGUAUGCUCUUAGAUCUAUGGAUGAUUUACCUUUCCUACAAAAUAUCUAACCAUUCUUCCUCUUUUACUUUUCUGAGAUUCCAUUAUUAUCUUGCCAAGUAUGGGUUCAAUAAUUAAGAAGAGUUCUUGUGGGGAGGGGGUGGGAUUUUUAAACAGAGGAUAGACUCUCAAUAAGUGAGUUGUGUUAGGUUUCUGCAUAAAUGUCCACUUAUACUCAAAUACUGAGUACUUGUGAUAUACUAGUUAUUGUCUUCAAAGAGAGGUGUCCUUUCUAAUUUUGAGAAUCCACUUCUAUGAGCUGUAGAGAGGCAGACUACAGAUGUGUAAAUCAGAUUAUUACAUAAAUUCAUUUGUUCCACACGUUUAUAAAGACCCUGUGCAUACUAAGUAACUGUGGUAGUCACUGGUGUUCCAAAAAGUACUAACACUUUAUCAAGUGCUAACCAUAUUCUAGAUGCUUUUGCAUAUGUGAUCUUAGUUAAUUUUCACAACAAUUCU